GUGGUCCCCAGGAGGGUUGAGAAGUCUCUGUUAAGUGUCCUCUGGGAGGCUGAGAAGUCUAAAGUUUCCCUUGGCAAGAAUGACUCCUGCACUCUUAUGAAUCACUUGUCCCAGAGAUGGGUUCCAUGCAAUGAAACACACUGUUGUGAAAAGGCCACAGCUGUGGAUCAGGCAGAAGUUGGCAAAGUCAGGCCCUCAGGCAGGAGAGUCACUGCAUGACUACUAUGCUAUUUACCCCCACGCAGGACACUUCCAUACAAAGAAGACAUUCCAAAAGUUAAGGCUAUAAAACCUUGAUGUGAGUGUCUCGGACAGUUUGGGAUGUGGAGUCCAACAGACCUGGGUUAACUGACCCAUUGCUGUCGUUGUGCAAGUCACGUUAAGCAUCUGAGUCACUGAGUGUGCUGGCGACGCUGGUAGGUACUGUCUCAAGGGUGAGCAUCAAGUCAAGACAAGAAGGCAUCAUGGACACACCGUGUGGCGUUUGGCACACGCUGAACAGAGAGGCACUGACACUGUAGGUGAGGCUCUGCCGUACUUCUCUGCAAUGUGGAUGGUUUGGGAAUGCUCCAGAUUGGGGAAGGAGGGAUGAUUGUGGCUGGUAAAACGACAAAUACUUUCAGUGUUUCAAAAUGAAGCUAAAUUGAAACUUGAUAUUUUUGAGCAAAAAUUUUAAGUCAAGGCAAGACUUGCUGGAGGACCAGGAAGUUCUCUCCCAUGAUUGUGGGUCUCAGGCAGGGUGUCGGAAUGCCUCUUGCUCCCCUAACUUCCUUCUCUUUGCUUUGGUGACUGCCCACAGACAGGCCAGCUCCCAGUCAUCUGAAACACCGCUUAGAAGGCAGGAAUUUGCAAUCCAUUCCAAACUGAAAGUGACUUUCAUGUGAUGGGGCCAGCACUGCUCUGUGACUCUGUAACUAAUUCUCCCAUUCCUGGCAGCCCUCCAGAUUCCUGGGACGUAAUCAAUUGGUCCAAGGACCCCAGGUCAGAUGC
This is a long non-coding RNA of Erinaceus europaeus (western European hedgehog), 990 nucleotides long. RefSeq lists it as uncharacterized. The transcript is spliced from 3 exons. The record is from RefSeq and is a predicted model, not a curated record. Lineage: Eukaryota; Metazoa; Chordata; Mammalia; Eulipotyphla; Erinaceidae.